RNAcentral lists this ribosomal RNA (410 nucleotides) under uncultured bacterium. RNAcentral's name for it is "bacterial SSU rRNA". It matches the Rfam family "Bacterial small subunit ribosomal RNA", at positions 509 to 916 of the family's 1533-position model. The record is from RNAcentral.
CAGCAGCCGCGGUAAUACAGAGGGUGCGAGCGUUGUCCGGAAUUACUGGGCGUAAAGAGCUCGUAGGUGGUUUGUCGCGUUGUUCGUGAAAACCAGCAGCUUAACUGCUGGCGUGCGGGCGAUACGGGCAGACUAGAGUACUGCAGGGGAGACUGGAAUUCCUGGUGUAGCGGUGGAAUGCGCAGAUAUCAGGAGGAACACCGGUGGCGAAGGCGGGUCUCUGGGCAGUAACUGACGCUGAGGAGCGAAAGCGUGGGGAGCAAACAGGAUUAGAUACCCUGGUAGUCCACGCCGUAAACGGUGGGUACUAGGUGUGGGUUUCCUUCCUUGGGAUCCGUGCCGUAGCUAACGCAUUAAGUACCCCGCCUGGGGAGUACGGCCGCAAGGCUAAAACUCAAAGGAAUUGACGG